This 304-nucleotide ribosomal RNA is filed under the name uncultured bacterium. RNAcentral's name for it is "partial 16S ribosomal RNA". It matches the Rfam family "Bacterial small subunit ribosomal RNA", at positions 509 to 807 of the family's 1533-position model. The record is from RNAcentral.
CAGCAGUCGCCGCGGGAAAACAGAGGGUGCAAGCGUUAAUCGGAAUUACUGGGCGUAAAGCGCGCGUAGGUGGUUUGUUAAGUUGGAUGUGAAAUCCCCGGGCUCAACCUGGGAACUGAAUCCAAAACUGGCAAGCUAGAGUAUGGUAGAGGGUGGUGGAAUUUCCUGUGUAGCGGUGAAAUGCGUAGAUAUAGGAAGGAACACCAGUGGCGAAGGCGACCACCUGGACUGAUACUGACACUGAGGUGCGAAAGCGUGGGGAGCAAACAGGAUUAGAUACCCCCGUAGUCCCUGUCUCUUAUAC